AGUGAACGCUGGCGGUAGGCCUAACACAUGCAAGUCGAACGGCAGCACAGUAAGCGCUCGCUCUUAUGGGUGGCGAGUGGCGGACGGGUGAGGAAUACAUCGGAAUCUACUUUUUCGUGGGGGAUAACGUAGGGAAACUUACGCUAACACAGCAUACGACCUACGGGUGAAAGCAGGGGAUAUUGGGACCUUGCGCGAACGCAUGAGUCGAUGUCGGUUUAGCUAGUUGGCGGGGUAAAGGACCACCAAGGAGACGAUCCGUAGCUGGUCUGAGAGGAUGAUCAGCCACAUGGGACCGGAGCCACGGUCCAGACUCCUACGGGAGGCAGCAGAGGGGAAUAUUGGACAAGGGGGGCAAGCCUGAUCCAGCCAUACCGCGUGGUUGAGGAGGGCCUUCGGUUUGUAAAGCCCGUUUGUUGGGAAGGAAGAGCAGCAGAUUGAUACCCCGCUGUUCUGACGGUACCCAAAGAGAAAGCACCGGCUAACUUCGUG
This 492-nucleotide ribosomal RNA is filed under the name uncultured bacterium. RNAcentral's name for it is "partial 16S ribosomal RNA". It matches the Rfam family "Bacterial small subunit ribosomal RNA", at positions 29 to 507 of the family's 1533-position model. The record is from RNAcentral.